ACCAGAUAACAGAAUUAUUGGAAGAAACCCUGAGAUGUGCUGGCAGUUCUCUGAUCUCAUAAAAAUGCUGUAUGAGCUGGAGAGACAAAGGAUUUUACAAAGGGUUAAGAAAGGCUCUAUGCAGGCAGCCAGCUGGUAAUCCAAAUCUGGACUAUGAAGCAAAGAUGGGAAAAGCACUGCUCUAGGAGAAAUGUUCUUAUAUAACAUGCUCUCAUCCAGUCCUCCCACCUGACGGCUAGACCUCAGCCACAUCCCAAGACAGUUUAAUAUCUGGCUGCACAGGACACUCUAUCCCGGAAUUCAGCCUUAUUUGGAAAGAAAAAUUGAGAGGGCUCCUCACAUAAGUGUGUAUACAGCUGGGAUGGGUCCUCUGAAUCCACCUUCUCUUCCAGCAUAUGAUCUAAUUUCUCAUUCUUCUUCGCUGUUGUUUUUGCUUGCGAAUUUCCAUGUUAUCGAGUAA
RNAcentral lists this long non-coding RNA (460 nucleotides) under Numida meleagris (helmeted guineafowl). RNAcentral's name for it is "lncRNA (ENSNMEG00000021232.1)". The record is from RNAcentral. Lineage: Eukaryota; Metazoa; Chordata; Aves; Galliformes; Numididae.